Molecule: transfer RNA, 69 nt
Filed under: Marmota monax (woodchuck)
Lineage: Eukaryota; Metazoa; Chordata; Mammalia; Rodentia; Sciuridae
Rfam family: tRNA
About the family: Transfer RNA (tRNA) molecules are approximately 80 nucleotides in length.
Source: Rfam by way of RNAcentral
GGAGUUGUGGCUCAGUGGUAGAGUGCUUGCCUAGCAUGCGUGAGGCACUGAGUUUGAUUCUCAGCACCA